GACGAACGCUGGCGGCGUGCUUAACACAUGCAAGUCGAACGAUGAACCACUUCGGUGGGGAUUAGUGGCGAACGGGUGAGUAACACGUGGGCAAUCUGCCCUUCACUCUGGGACAAGCCCUGGAAACGGGGUCUAAUACCGGAUACAACACUCUCGGGCUUCCGAUGAGUGUGGAAAGCUCCGGCGGUGAAGGAUGAGCC
RNAcentral lists this ribosomal RNA (200 nucleotides) under uncultured bacterium. RNAcentral's name for it is "partial 16S ribosomal RNA". It matches the Rfam family "Bacterial small subunit ribosomal RNA", at positions 28 to 231 of the family's 1533-position model. The record is from RNAcentral.